AGAGUUUGAUCCUGGCUCAGGAUGAACGCUGGCGGCGUGCCUAAUACAUGCAAGUCGAGCGAACGGACGAGAAGCUUGCUUCUCUGAUGUUAGCGGCGGACGGGUGAGUAACACGUGGAUAACCUACCUAUAAGACUGGGAUAACUUCGGGAAACCGGAGCUAAUACCGGAUAAUAUUUUGAACCGCAUGGUUCAAAAGUAAAAGACGGUCUUGCUGUCACUUAUAGAUGGAUCCGCGCUGCAUUAGCUAGUUGGUAAGGUAACGGCUUACCAAGGCAACGAUGCAUAGCCGACCUGAGAGGGUGAUCGGCCACACUGGAACUGAGACACGGUCCAGACUCCUACGGGAGGCAGCAGUAGGGAAUCUUCCGCAAUGGGCGAAAGCCUGACGGAGCAACGCCGCGUGAGUGAUGAAGGUCUUCGGAUCGUAAAACUCUGUUAUUAGGGAAGAACAUAUGUGUAAGUAACUGUGCACAUCUUGACGGUACCUAAUCAGAAAGCCACGGCUAACUACGUGCCAGCAGCCGCGGUAAUACGUAGGUGGCAAGCGUUAUCCGGAAUUAUUGGGCGUAAAGCGCGCGUAGGCGGUUUUUUAAGUCUGAUGUGAAAGCCCACGGCUCAACCGUGGAGGGUCAUUGGAAACUGGAAAACUUGAGUGCAGAAGAGGAAAGUGGAAUUCCAUGUGUAGCGGUGAAAUGCGCAGAGAUAUGGAGGAACACCAGUGGCGAAGGCGACUUUCUGGUCUGUAACUGACGCUGAUGUGCGAAAGCGUGGGGAUCAAACAGGAUUAGAUACCCUGGUAGUCCACGCCGUAAACGAUGAGUGCUAAGUGUUAGGGGGUUUCCGCCCCUUAGUGCUGCAGCUAACGCAUUAAGCACUCCGCCUGGGGAGUACGACCGCAAGGUUGAAACUCAAAGGAAUUGACGGGGACCCGCACAAGCGGUGGAGCAUGUGGUUUAAUUCGAAGCAACGCGAAGAACCUUACCAAAUCUUGACAUCCUUUGACAACUCUAGAGAUAGAGCCUUCCCCUUCGGGGGACAAAGUGACAGGUGGUGCAUGGUUGUCGUCAGCUCGUGUCGUGAGAUGUUGGGUUAAGUCCCGCAACGAGCGCAACCCUUAAGCUUAGUUGCCAUCAUUAAGUUGGGCACUCUAAGUUGACUGCCGGUGACAAACCGGAGGAAGGUGGGGAUGACGUCAAAUCAUCAUGCCCCUUAUGAUUUGGGCUACACACGUGCUACAAUGGACAAUACAAAGGGCAGCGAAACCGCGAGGUCAAGCAAAUCCCAUAAAGUUGUUCUCAGUUCGGAUUGUAGUCUGCAACUCGACUACAUGAAGCUGGAAUCGCUAGUAAUCGUAGAUCAGCAUGCUACGGUGAAUACGUUCCCGGGUCUUGUACACACCGCCCGUCACACCACGAGAGUUUGUAACACCCGAAGCCGGUGGAGUAACCUUUUAGGAGCUAGCCGUCGAAGGUGGGACAAAUGAUUGGGGUGAAGUCGUAACAAGGUAGCCGUAUCGGAAGGUGCGGCUGGAUCACCUCCUUU
This 1545-nucleotide ribosomal RNA is filed under the name Staphylococcus aureus subsp. aureus JH9. RNAcentral's name for it is "16S ribosomal RNA". It matches the Rfam family "Bacterial small subunit ribosomal RNA". The record is from RNAcentral. RNAcentral also lists the same sequence under 1 other name. Lineage: Bacteria; Bacillati; Bacillota; Bacilli; Caryophanales; Staphylococcaceae.